This 4006-nucleotide long non-coding RNA is filed under the name Homo sapiens (human). RNAcentral's name for it is "ADAPT59". The record is from RNAcentral. Lineage: Eukaryota; Metazoa; Chordata; Mammalia; Primates; Hominidae.
ACACGGACGCGCAUGAAAUUUGGUGCCGUGACUCGGAUCGGGGGACCUCCCUGGGGAGAUCAAUCCCCUGUCCUCCUGCUCUUUGCUCCGUGAGAAAGAUCCACCUAGGACCUCAGGUCCUCAGACCGACCAGCCCAAGAAACAUCUCACCAAUUUCAAAUCCGGUAAGCAGCCUCUUUUUACUCUCUUCUCCAACCUCCUUCACUAUCCCUCAACCUCUUUCUCCUUUCAAUCUUGGUGCCGCACUUCAAUCUCUCUCUUCUCUUAAUUUCAAUUCCUUUCAUUUUCUGGUAGAGACAAAGGAGACACGUUUUAUCCAUGGACCCAAAACUCCGGCACCGGUCACGGACUGGGAAGGCAGCCUUCCCUUGGUGUUUAAUCAUUGCAGGGAUGCCUCUCUGAUUAUACACUCACAUUUCAAGGGUGUCAGACCACGCAGGGACGCCUGCCUUAGUCCUUCACCCUUAGCGGCAAGUCCCGCUUUCCUGGGGAAGGGGCAAAUACCCCUCAACCCCUUCUCUCCUUGUCUCUACCCCUUCUGUGCUUUUCUGGGGCAGGGGCAAAUACCCCUCAACCCCCUCUCCUUCACCCUUAGCGGCAAGCCCUGCUUUCCUGGGGCAGGGGCAAGUACCCCUCAACCCCUUCUCCUUCACCCUUAGCAGCAAGUCCUGCUUUCCUAGGCAGCAAGAACCCCCCAAUCGCUUAUUUCCACGCCCCAAGCUCUUAUCUCUGUGCCCCAAUCCCUUAUUUCCGCACCCUGACCUCUUAUCUCUGUGCCCCAAUCCCUUAUUUCUGUGCCCCAACUCCUUCUCUGCUUUUCUGGAGGGCAAGAACCCCCCACCCCUUCUCCGUGUCUCUACUCUUUUCUCUGGGCUUGCCUCCUUCACUAUGGGUAAGCUUCCACCUUCCAUUCCUCCUUCUUCUCCCUUAGCCUAUAUUCUUAAGAACUUAAAACCUCUUCAACUCACACCUGACCUAAAACCUAAAUGCCUUAUUUUCUUCUGCAAUGCCGCUUGACCCCAAUACAAACUCGACAGUAGUUCUAAAUAGCCAGAAAAUGGCACUUUGAAUUUUUCCAUCCUGCAAAAUCUAAAUAAUUCUUGUCGUAAAAUAGGCAAACGGUCUGAGGUGCCUGAUGUCCAGGCAUUCUUUUACACAUCAGUCCCUUCCUAGUCUCUGUGCCCACUGCAACUCAUCCCAAAUCUUCCUUCUUUCCCUCCCACCUGUCCCCUCAGUACCAACCCCAAGCGUCUCUGAGUCUUUCUCAUCUUCCUUUUCUAUAGACCCAUCUGACCUCUCCCUUCCUCCCCAGGCUGCUCCUCGCCAGGCUGAGCUAGGUCCCAAUUCUUCCUCAGCCUCCGCUCCUCCACCCAAUAAUCCUUUUAUCACCUCCCCUCCUCACACCUGGUCCUGCUUACAGUUUCGUCCUGUGACUAGCCCUCCCCCACCUGCCCAGCAAUUUACUCUUAAAAAGGUGGCUGGAGCUAAAGGCAGAAUUACUCAAUCUGCUCCCGACAUUAAAUAAAACUCCAAAAACUGGAAUCUGGCCCUCAAACCCCACAACAGGACUUAAUUAACCUCACCUUCAAGGUGUGCAAUAACAUAAAAAAGUUGCAACUCCUUGCCUCCACUGUGAGACAAACCCCAGCCACAUCUCCAGCACACAAGAACUUCCAAAUGCCUGAACUGCAGUGGCCAGGCAUUCCUCCAGAACCUCCUCCCCUAGGAGCUUGCUACACGUGCCAGAAAUCUGGCCACUGGGCCAAGGAAUGCCUGCAGCCCAGGAUUCCUCCUAAGCUGCAUCCCAUCUGUGUGGGACCCCACUGAAAAUCGGACUGUUCAACUCACCUGGCAGCCACUCCCAGAGCCCCUGGAACUCUGGCCCAAGGCUCUCUGACUGACUCCUUCCCAGAUCUUCUCGGCUUAGCAGCUGAAGACUGACACUGCUCGAUUGCCUCGGAAGCCCCCUAGACCAUCACGGACGCCGAGCUUUAGGUAACUUUCACAGUGGAGGGUAAGUCUGUCCCUUAAAACUCCCCAACUCUGGCGCCAACUUAGACAAUACUCUUUUAUGCACUCUUUUUUAGUUAUCCCCAUCUGCCCAGUUCCCUUAUUAGGCUGAGAUAUUUUAACCAAAUUAUCUGCUUCCCUGACUAUUCCUGCACUAUAGCCGCAUCUCAUUGCUGCCCUUCUUCCCAAUCCAAAGCCUCCUUUGCGUCCUCCUCUUGUAUUCCCCCACCUUAACCCAGAAGUAUAAGAUACCUCUACUCCCUCCUUGGCGACCGAUCACGCACCCCUUACCAUCUCAUUAAAACCUAAUCACCCUUACGCCGCUCAACACCAAUAUCCCAUCCCACAGCAUGCUUUAAAAGGAUUAAAGCCUGUUAUCACUCACCUGCUACAGCAUGGGCUUCUAAAACCUAUAAACUCUCUUUGCCAUUCCCCCAUUUUACCUGUCCUAAAACCAGACAAGCCUUACAAGUUAGUUCAGAAUCUGCGCUUUAUCAACCAAAUUGUUUUGCCUAUCCACCCCAUGGUGCCAAACCCAUAUACUCUCCUAUCCUCAAUAGCUCCCUCUACUACCCAUUAUUCUGUUCUGGAUCUCAAACCUGCUUUCUUUACUAUUCCUUUGCACCCUUCAUCCCAGCCUCUCUUUGUCUUCACUUAGACUGACCCUGACACCCAUUAGGCUCAGCAAAUUACCUGGGCUGUACUGACGCAAGGCUUCACAGACAGCCCCCAUUACUUCAGUCAAGCCCAAAUUUCAUCCUCAUCUGUUACCUAUUCGGCAUAAUUCUCAUAAAAACACACGUGCUCUCCCUGCUGAUCGUGUCCGAUUAAUCUCCCAAACCUCAAUCCCUUACAAAAGAAUAACUGCUUUCCUUCCUAGGCAUGGUUAGUGUGGUCAGAAUUCUUACACAAGAGCCAGGACCACACUGUGUAGCCUUUCUGUCCAAACAACUUGACCUUACUGUUUUAGCCUAGCCCUCAUGUCUGCGUGCAGCGGCUGCCACUGCUUUAAUACUGUUAGAGGCCCUAAAAAUCACAAACUAUGCUCAACUCACUCUCUACAUUUCCCAUAACUUCCAAAAUCUAUUUUCUUCAGAAUUCAGGCCUGUCCUCAGAAUGCUACAAGGUACAGCCAAUUUAAGCUCCUGUAUAGACGUUCCUUUUUAUUAGGCCCCAGUCUCAUUCAACACCAGACCAACUUAGACUGUGCCCCAAAAAAACUUGUCAUCCCUACCAUCUUUUGUCUAGUCAUACUCCUAUUCACCGUUCUCAACUACUCAUACAUGCCCUGCUCUUGUUUACACUGCCGGUUUACACUGUUUCUCCAAGCCAUCACAGCUGAUAUCUCCUGGUGCUAUCCCCAAACUGCCACUCUAAACUCUUGAAGUAAAUAAAUAAUCUUUACUGGUAGGACUAUGCUGAAUCUCCUCAGGCACUAUACCUGUUUUUCUCCUUCUGUUAUUCCAUUUAGUUUUUCAAUUCAUACAAAACCGUAUCCAGGCCAUCACCAAUCAUUCUAUACAACAAAUGUUUCUUCUAACAUCCCCACGAUAUCACCCCUUACCACAAGAUCUCCUUUCAGCUUAAUCUCUCCCACUCUAGGUUCCCACACCGCCCCUAAUCCCGCUCGAAGCAGCCCUGAGAAACAUCGUCCACUCUCUCUCCAUACCACCCCCCAAAAAUUUUCGCCGCCCCAACACUUCAACACUAUUUUGUUUUAUUUCUCUUAUUAAUAUAAGAAGGCAGAAAUGUCAGGCCUCUGAGCCCAAGUCAAGCCAUCGCAUCCCCUGUGACUUGCACGUAUAAGCCCAGAUGGCCUGAAGUAACUGAAGAAUCACAAAAGAAGUGAAUAUGCCCUGCCCCACCUUAACUGAUGACAUUCCACCACAACAGAAGUGUAAAUGCCAGUCCUUGCCUUAACUGAUGACGUUACCUUGUGAAAUUCCUUCUCCUGGCUCAUCCUGGCUCAAAAAGCACCCCCACUGAGCACCUUGCG